RNAcentral lists this transfer RNA (61 nucleotides) under Cyphoderus albinus. RNAcentral describes it as "tRNA-Ala". Lineage: Eukaryota; Metazoa; Arthropoda; Collembola; Entomobryomorpha; Paronellidae. The record is from RNAcentral.
AGGAAUAUAGUUAAUUAUAACACCUGGGUUGCAUUCAGGAAGUGCUAUCUGGCUGUUCUUA